CAAUGUGUUAUUUCCAAUUCAAUGAUCUUAUUCAAUUCCGACAACGCAAGGCACCAAAUUGCAGCCAAACAAAGAAAAACCUCAAUAGGAUUAGAUUUAGACACCUUUCCUCAACAAUAAACUUUCACACCUAAAAUCACUAAAACAAGCGCCAACGUAACUAUAGCGUGGAGCUUAAUUUUUCCACGUAUUCCAGAUCUCCCUAUCAAAUUCCCUAUGCCUUCCAUUGCACCCUUCAACAUUUUCAUGGACAAAAGGAAACCUAGGAGUGGCACUGGCGAUUUAUCCACUGUAAAAGCUGCAGCUUGGGCAUGGUACCAGCAUGGUUCAGGGUCUAAUGAAGGGAAGCCCAUCAACGAAUUUGCUGUCACAAGAACUCGCCAAGCUUAUAGACCCUCAAGAUACAAGCUCGAAGCCAUGAAAGUGGUGGAAGAAUGUUCCAUAGAAGAGUCAUCACAAUCACACAACGAAGCUAUUCCAGUCCAUACAGAUAGUAAUUCUCUUCUCGACGCCUAUGAGAUUGAAAGCAUUUCCAAGCGACUUGAUUGUCUUAUAGAGUCUAGUAACAUGUUCUGUGAUAGAGAUAAUGUCUAUGGCGAUGCUCGCCAGAAGAAUAGUAGAAGUGCAAUAAAGAAGAACAACAAGAAUAUCUUGAGAGGGUUAUGGUUGAGGUAUGCAGUUGUUUGUGGCACAAGGGAGGAUGUGGAUACGAGUGCUUUUGUGCGGAGUCGGCCGCCGCCGGCUAUGGCGGCAACGCAUGCUCCAGUAGUCAAGACAGCUGUUUGUAGGCCACGAGCUGCCCAUGCGCAGUGAAUUUUGGAACUAGUUAAUAAAUGGCCAACUACGUAUACACCAACUGUAUUAAUGGAAAUUUCUUUGCAGCUUCAUAGAUGUAUGUUAGACAUAAAUGUAAUUUUGAAAGAGAAAAAUAUGAAUCUAUCCAAUAACUGCUACUUUGCACUAUUUUUAUGAAGGGAUAAAUUUAUUUUAUCUCA
RNAcentral lists this unclassified non-coding RNA (995 nucleotides) under Hevea brasiliensis (rubber tree). The record is from RNAcentral. Lineage: Eukaryota; Viridiplantae; Streptophyta; Magnoliopsida; Malpighiales; Euphorbiaceae.